This 460-nucleotide ribosomal RNA is filed under the name uncultured bacterium. RNAcentral's name for it is "partial 16S ribosomal RNA". It matches the Rfam family "Bacterial small subunit ribosomal RNA", at positions 338 to 795 of the family's 1533-position model. The record is from RNAcentral.
CCUACGGGUUGCAGCAGUGAGGAAUAUUGGUCAAUGGACGAGAGUCUGAACCAGCCAAGUAGCGUGAAGGAUGACUGCCCUAUGGGUUGUAAACUUCUUUUAUAUGGGAAUAAAAUGUUCCACGUGUGGGAUUUUGUAUGUACCAUAUGAAUAAGGAUCGACUAACUCCGUGCCAGCAGCCGCGGUAAUACGGAGGAUCCGAGCGUUAUCCGGAUUUAUUGGGUUUAAAGGGAGCGUAGGCGGAUUGUUAAGUCAGUUGUGAAAGUUUGCGGCUCAACCGUCACAUUGCAGUUGAAACUGGGAGUCUUGAGUACGGUAGAGGUGGGCGGAAUGCGUGGUGUAGCGGUGAAAUGCUUAGAUAUCACGAAGAACUCCGAUUGCGAAGGCAGCGCACUGGACUGCAACUGACGCUGAGGCUCGAAAGUGUGGGUAUCGAACAGGAUUAGAUACCCCUGUAGUC